GAGCCGCUAGCUCAGUCGGUAGAGCAACGCCCUUUUAAGGCGUGGGUCGCCGGUUCGAACCCGGCGCGGCUCA
Molecule: transfer RNA, 73 nt
Filed under: Spirochaetaceae bacterium
Lineage: Bacteria; Pseudomonadati; Spirochaetota; Spirochaetia; Spirochaetales; Spirochaetaceae
Description: tRNA-Lys
Rfam family: tRNA
About the family: Transfer RNA (tRNA) molecules are approximately 80 nucleotides in length. Their secondary structure includes four short double-helical elements and three loops (D, anti-codon, and T loops).
Source: RNAcentral